Molecule: transfer RNA, 87 nt
Filed under: bacterium (Candidatus Howlettbacteria) CG_4_10_14_0_8_um_filter_40_9
Lineage: Bacteria
Description: tRNA-Tyr
Rfam family: tRNA
About the family: Transfer RNA (tRNA) molecules are approximately 80 nucleotides in length. Their secondary structure includes four short double-helical elements and three loops (D, anti-codon, and T loops). Further hydrogen bonds mediate the characteristic L-shaped molecular structure. tRNAs have two regions of fundamental functional importance: the anti-codon, which is responsible for specific mRNA codon recognition, and the 3' end, to which the tRNAs corresponding amino acid is attached (by aminoacyl-tRNA synthetases). tRNAs cope with the degeneracy of the genetic code in two manners: having more than one tRNA (with a specific anti-codon) for a particular amino acid; and 'wobble' base-pairing, i.e. permitting non-standard base-pairing at the 3rd anti-codon position.
Source: RNAcentral
GGAUGGGUACCGAAGCGGCCAAACGGGGCAGACUGUAAAUCUGCUGGCUUUAUGCCUUCGGGGGUUCGAAUCCCUCCCCAUCCACCA